UACGUAGGGGGCAAGCGUUGUCCGGAUUUACUGGGCGUAAAGCGUGCGUAGGUGGUUUGUUAAGUCUGUUGUGAAAGCCCCGGGCUCAACCUGGGAAUGGCAAUGGAUACUGGCAAGCUAGAGUGCGGUAGAGGGUAGUGGAAUUCCCGGUGUAGCGGUGAAAUGCGUAGAGAUCGGGAGGAACACCAGUGGCGAAGGCGGCUACCUGGACCAGCACUGACACUGAGGCACGAAAGCGUGGGGAGCAAACGGG
This 253-nucleotide ribosomal RNA is filed under the name uncultured bacterium. RNAcentral describes it as "partial 16S ribosomal RNA". It matches the Rfam family "Bacterial small subunit ribosomal RNA", at positions 524 to 776 of the family's 1533-position model. The record is from RNAcentral.